Molecule: ribosomal RNA, 497 nt
Filed under: uncultured bacterium
Lineage: Bacteria
Description: partial 16S ribosomal RNA
Rfam family: Bacterial small subunit ribosomal RNA
Source: RNAcentral
GAUGAACGCUGGCGGCGUGCCUAAUACAUGCAAGUCGAGCGAACAGACGAGGAGCUUUCUCCUCUGACGUUAGCGGCGGACGGGUGAGUAACACGUGGAUAACCUACCUAUAAGACUGGGAUAACUUCGGGAAACCGGAGCUAAUACCGGAUAAUAUAUUGAACCGCAUGGUUCAAUAGUGAAAUACGGUUUUGCUGUCACUUAUAGAUGGAUCCGCGCCGCAUUAGCUAGUUGGUAAGGUAACGGCUUACCAAGGCAACGAUGCGUAGCCGACCUGAGAGGGUGAUCGGCCACACUGGAACUGAGACACGGUCCAGACUCCUACGGGAGGCAGCAGUAGGGAAUCUUCCGCAAUGGGCGAAAGCCUGACGGAGCAACGCCGCGUGAGUGAUGAAGGUCUUCGGAUCGUAAAACUCUGUUAUUAGGGAAGAACAAAUGUGUAAGUAACUAUGCACGUCUUGACGGUACCUAAUCAGAAAGCCACGGCUAACUACGUG